RNAcentral lists this ribosomal RNA (657 nucleotides) under uncultured bacterium. RNAcentral describes it as "partial 16S ribosomal RNA". It matches the Rfam family "Bacterial small subunit ribosomal RNA", at positions 750 to 1401 of the family's 1533-position model. The record is from RNAcentral.
UGCACGAAAGAGAUGGGAUUCAAACCCAGAAUAAAAAACCCAGGUACUCCCCCCCCUAAAAAAAUAAAUACUCGCCGUUUUCGAUUUUCAGUAAGCUGCCAAGCAAAAGCAUUAAUUAUUUCCACCUGGGGGAGUACGCCGGCAAACGGGGAAACUCAAAGGAAAAUGACGGGGGCCCGCCCAAGCGGAGGAACAAGUAGGUUUUAUUCGAUGAUACGCGAGGAACCUCACCCGGGCUUGAAUUGCAGAUGACAGGAGCCGAAACGCUUCUUUUUUCUGACAUCUGUGAAGAUACUGCAUGGUUGUAGUCAGCUCGUGCCGUGAGGUGUCGGCUUAAGUGCCAUAACGAGCGCAACCCUUAUCUUUAGUUGCUAACAGGUGAAUGCUGAGGACUCUAGAGAGACUGCCGUCGUAAGAUGUGAGGAAGGGAGGGGGGACGUCAAAUCAGCACGGCCCUUACGUCCAGGGCUACACACGUGUUACAAUGGGAGGCACAGAGGGCAGCUACCUAGCGAUAGGAUGGUAAUCUCAUAAAUCCUCUCUCAGUUCGGAUCGAAGUCUGCAAUUCGACUUCGUGAAGCUGGAUUCGCUAGUAAUCGCGCAUCAGCUACGGCGCGGUGAAUACGUUACCGGCCCUUGUACACACCGCCCGUCAAG